This is a non-coding RNA of Kaistia sp. SCN 65-12, 61 nucleotides long. Lineage: Bacteria; Pseudomonadati; Pseudomonadota; Alphaproteobacteria; Hyphomicrobiales; Kaistiaceae. The record is from Rfam.
CCGCUGAUCCGGGUCCCUCUGGUGAGCGCUGCCGGCACGCUCGCGAUGUCGGAUCGUCUUC